This is a long non-coding RNA of Mustela erminea (ermine), 1463 nucleotides long. RefSeq lists it as uncharacterized. The record is from RefSeq and is a predicted model, not a curated record. The transcript has 4 exons. Lineage: Eukaryota; Metazoa; Chordata; Mammalia; Carnivora; Mustelidae.
AUUGGGUUCCAUCCUGGUGGUGGUCCUUGGCUGACCCGCCCUUUCAGCUCCGAGAGCCUCAAUUUGCAUCUCUAUAUCAGGGAGACUAUUUUUGACUGAGAUGGAAAUCAGAAUUUUCCUGUGUUCUAGCUUUAGGGCUGUGUGUAUCUUUGCAAAGUUUUAAGAAAUCUUUUUACAAAGGCUUCAGCAGGCUUUCCUUUUCCUCUGGGUACAGAGCUUCAUUUAAGCCCAGGGGAGAAGGCCGAAAAACUUCCCGUCAAGUUCUGAUGAUCAGUUUUCAGUGCGGCCUCCUUCCGACCAUAGAGCUACACUAAAAACAAUCCUUUUGAAUAUCUCAAUGGUCCUCAGCUGAGACAAACAGUAAAUGCUGCUGACCAUAUUGAACAACCCUUCCAUAUAAGGGGCACCCUCAAAAAAUGUGCAACAAAUAUGGCCCUCCCAAGAUCCAGAGCCACUCUCAAAGAUAACCAAAAGAGAGAAAGACGAAUUUUCCUGAGAGCUGGCAACCGCCAGUAGGGCACACUGAGAGCAACCUGCUCUUCUGCAUGGCCAUGUUUUGGGCCCAAGCCUGACAGGUGCCAAGCCAAGUUCUUAAGACACAAAAUGAGACAAACAGGAAGGCAGCAGCUGUACCCAGGAGAGAAAGGAUUCACAGCCAGUGGGUACCUAAAAGCAAAUCCUUGCGGCAAAGAUUCAAAGGUCUAAUUCUUCGAUUCUUUUUUGCCUGCCAAUCUGAACUUGGAAAGGAAGGGACAAAGUAGAAUUUCAUCUCCCUCUCUCACCAGACACCGCAGAUGGAGAUCUGGGAAAGCUGAUUUUGGUCGGACCUGGUCCGGAAGAAGGAACUCUCAGAUGAAGUCUGAAAGCUCCUAAUGUAAAAGUUGCGGAUCCAUGAGGAUCCUCCCAGCGUGUCCAGAGGCAGCAGGAAAACGGCGGAGCUCUUGGGACUCACAGAAACUCCCCACUGGACCCGGGUUAUCUAAAUACAAGUUACUUAUUUGAUUGGCAUUUGCUCUCGUCAGUUUCGCAAACUCGAGGGAUCACACGCUGAGUAAAUAAUCCAUAGACCAUGAUCUGCUGUCCUGUCAGGCUUGUUAGCCAGACUCGAGCCCCCAGCGUCGGAAACCUGCCCGAGGAGCGUUCCCAGGUAGGCUUCUUAACUACCUCCCCCCCUGGCUACCAUCAUCGCCGCUUACAGACUUCGAGAACUCCCUGGUAGCACACUGACUAUAUUUGGGAGAACUAAUUGGUGGUUCUGGUGUCUUUGUUAGGAAAAAGUGACACUUUUUGAAGUUAAUAAAAAUCUCUUCGGCUACAGCCUUUUAUCAGAUGUAACAAAACAUUGUUUGAACAAAUAUGCUCUCAGUAGUAGUGACAGUUCAUUUCUGCUCUUCCUUGCCAUCAACAUCCCGCGAAGGAAAGCUGUAGAAGUUCCUUAAAGGCGUAAAAUUAGUUUUUGAGUA